This 305-nucleotide ribosomal RNA is filed under the name uncultured bacterium. RNAcentral describes it as "bacterial SSU rRNA". It matches the Rfam family "Bacterial small subunit ribosomal RNA", at positions 335 to 636 of the family's 1533-position model. The record is from RNAcentral.
UUUCCUACGGGGGGCAGCAGUGAGGGAUAUUGGUCAAUGGGCGGGAGCCUGAACCAGCCAAGUCGCGUGAGGGAAGACGGUCCUAUGGAUUGUAAACCUCUUUAGGCGGGGAGCAAUGCCGGGCACGCGUGCCCGGAGGGAGAGCACCCGCAGAAUAAGCAUCGGCUAACUCCGUGCCAGCAGCCGCGGUAAUACGGAGGAUGCGAGCGUUAUCCGGAUUUAUUGGGUUUAAAGGGUGCGUAGGCGGAUUUUUAAGUCAGUUGUGAAAGUUUGCGGCUCAACCGUAAAAUUGCAGUUGAAACUGG